This is a long non-coding RNA of Onychostoma macrolepis, 845 nucleotides long. RefSeq lists it as uncharacterized. The record is from RefSeq and is a predicted model, not a curated record. Lineage: Eukaryota; Metazoa; Chordata; Actinopteri; Cypriniformes; Cyprinidae. The transcript is spliced from 3 exons.
AUUUCAAACGGUUUCGCUUAGAGGAGAGCCUAAACCGGUCGGUGUCGAUUCAGACAUUUUGACGUCAUAUUCUCAUUGAGAAUUUGCUUCAUAUUUAAUGGCUUUACCAACUUAGACGUGUUUGACCACCAACCAGCUUACGCUGGAAACGAGGUCAGAUGCUGUGGCGUCAUUAGCGGGGGAGUCCUGGAGGCUCGUCGUCCAAUCACAAGCUACUUCGCGAUGUGAAGUAGAGCAUUGAGGUGGGCUGGUGGAAGGUCUGUCAGCGUCUUCAGCAGAGCACAAAGUUGAAUUUAGAGAUACAGUAUGGCGGCUUCAUUCUCAAGGGUCUCACAAAGACACAACAUAAAUCUCACAGAGAAACCACACACUGGGCUAUUGACUGCAGACAUGAAAACAUGAAUUUUCCAUUGAAAUUAUCAAAUGUUAAAAAAUAAAGCAAAAAAUGAAAAUAUGCUGAAAAUUUACUCCCCCCUCGUUUGGAGAAAUGUUUGGACUGGAGUAAUUAGUACAUGACUUGCUCACCAGCGGACCCUCUGCAGUGAAUGGGUGCCGUCAGAGUUCAAACAGCUGAUAAAAACAUCACACUAAUCCACAAGUAAUGCACACGAUUCCAGUCAAUCAAUUAAUGCUUUGUGAAGCUGCAUAUUUAUAAGCAACAAAUCCAUCGUUAAGCUUUAAUAACGCUUUCUCCAUAUUUAAUUAAAGCUGUUUUGUCUGUUUUUGCUUUUAAGAUGUGCUUGAUCUGUGCAUAUUUCUCAUCUGAUUCAAACGAGUUUACUUUUUCACUGGAGAAAGCAAUAUUAUUGAUGGAUUUGUUUGUGUGCAAAUUUAUCCCCCUUAAU